AGGGCUUUAGUUUAGUUAAAAUAUCUGGCUUGCACUCAGAAGAUGCGGAUUAGUUGUCCGUAGGUCCUA
RNAcentral lists this transfer RNA (69 nucleotides) under Esomus metallicus (striped flying barb). RNAcentral's name for it is "tRNA-Ala". It matches the Rfam family "tRNA". From Rfam's summary of the family: Transfer RNA (tRNA) molecules are approximately 80 nucleotides in length. Their secondary structure includes four short double-helical elements and three loops (D, anti-codon, and T loops). Further hydrogen bonds mediate the characteristic L-shaped molecular structure. tRNAs have two regions of fundamental functional importance: the anti-codon, which is responsible for specific mRNA codon recognition, and the 3' end, to which the tRNAs corresponding amino acid is attached (by aminoacyl-tRNA synthetases). tRNAs cope with the degeneracy of the genetic code in two manners: having more than one tRNA (with a specific anti-codon) for a particular amino acid; and 'wobble' base-pairing, i.e. permitting non-standard base-pairing at the 3rd anti-codon position. Lineage: Eukaryota; Metazoa; Chordata; Actinopteri; Cypriniformes; Danionidae. The record is from RNAcentral.